This 184-nucleotide non-coding RNA is filed under the name Bacillota bacterium. RNAcentral describes it as "6S RNA". It matches the Rfam family "6S / SsrS RNA". Rfam says of the family: E. coli 6S RNA was the first non coding RNA to be sequenced, but its function was unknown until recently. It consists of 184 nucleotides that fold into an extended hairpin structure with a large single-stranded internal bulge. Lineage: Bacteria; Bacillati; Bacillota. The record is from RNAcentral.
UGCUCCCUGCUGUGUUCGUGAUAAAGCUGAGCGUGUUAUGAACCGAACAACGCGCUUAAGGGAACCUAACUCUGGCUGCCUAGCGACGCCCCGUCUUCGUGCGGGGUAAGCGAAACAGUCAGGAGGGUACCCACCUGCUUAUAGGCAGGUUCAAAGCAUUCAGCCAGCGGCAUGGCGGGGGCAU